AACGAACGCUGGCGGCAUGCCUAACACAUGCAAGUCGAACGAGACCUUCGGGUCUAGUGGCGCACGGGUGCGUAACGCGUGGGAACCUGCCCUUAGGUUCGGAAUAACUCCCCGAAAGGGGUGCUAAUACCGGAUAAUGUCUUCGGGCCAAAGAUUUAUCGCCUUUGGAUGGGCCCGCGUUGGAUUAGCCAGUUGGUAGGGUAAAAGCCUACCAAGGCGACGAUCCAUAGCUGGUCUGAGAGGAUGAUCAUCCACACUGGGACUGAGACACGGCCCAGACUGCGACGGGAGGCAGCAGUAGGGAGUAUUAGACAAUGGGCGAAAACCUGAUCCAGCAAUGCCGCGUGAGUGAUGAAGGCCUUAGGGUUGUAAAGCUCUUUUACCCGGGAUGAUAAUGACAGUAACGGGAGAAUAAGCUCCGGCUAACUCCGUG
This 433-nucleotide ribosomal RNA is filed under the name uncultured bacterium. RNAcentral's name for it is "partial 16S ribosomal RNA". It matches the Rfam family "Bacterial small subunit ribosomal RNA", at positions 29 to 507 of the family's 1533-position model. The record is from RNAcentral.